RNAcentral lists this ribosomal RNA (556 nucleotides) under uncultured Glomus. Its description in RNAcentral is "SSU rRNA". It matches the Rfam family "Eukaryotic small subunit ribosomal RNA", at positions 546 to 1106 of the family's 1831-position model. Lineage: Eukaryota; Fungi; Glomeromycota; Glomeromycetes; Glomerales; Glomeraceae. The record is from RNAcentral.
AAUUGGAGGGCAAGUCUGGUGCCAGCAGCCGCGGUAAUUCCAGCUCCAAUAGCGUAUAUUAAAGUUGUUGCAGUUAAAAAGCUCGUAGUUGAAUUUCGGGAUCAGUACGUCGGUCGUGCCUUCGGUAUGCACUGGUGUCACUGGUUCCUCCCUUCUGACGAACCGUCAUGCCAUUAAUUUGGUGUGGCGGGAAAUCAGGACUGUUACUUUGAAAAAAUUAGAGUGUUUAAAGCAGGCUCACGCUUGAAUACAUUAGCAUGGAAUAAUGAAAUAGGACGUUGAUCUUAUUUUGUUGGUUUCUAGGAUUGACGUAAUGAUUAAUAGGGAUAGUUGGGGGCAUUAGUAUUCAAUUGUCAGAGGUGAAAUUCUUGGAUUUAUUGAAGACUAACUACUGCGAAAGCAUUUGCCAAGGAUGUUUUCAUUAAUCAAGAACGAAAGUUAGGGGAUCGAAGACGAUCAGAUACCGUCGUAGUCUUAACCAUAAACUAUGCCGACUAGGGAUCGGAUGAUGUUAUUUUUAAUGACUCAUUCGGCGCCUUACGGGAAACCAAAGUGU